Molecule: ribosomal RNA, 231 nt
Filed under: Klebsiella pneumoniae
Lineage: Bacteria; Pseudomonadati; Pseudomonadota; Gammaproteobacteria; Enterobacterales; Enterobacteriaceae
Description: partial 23S ribosomal RNA
Rfam family: Bacterial large subunit ribosomal RNA
Source: RNAcentral
AUAUUCCUGUACUUGGUGUUACUGCGAAGGGGGGACGGAGAAGGCUAUGUUAGCCGGGCGACGGUUGUCCCGGUUUAAGCAUGUAGGCUGGUUAUCCAGGCAAAUCCGGAUAAUCAAGGCUGAGGUGUGAUGACGAGGUACUACGGUGCUGAAGUAACAAAUGCCCUGCUUCCAGGAAAAGCCUCUAAGCAUCAGGUAACAUCAAAUCGUACCCCAAACCGACACAGGUGG